RNAcentral lists this transfer RNA (88 nucleotides) under Bacteroidota bacterium. RNAcentral's name for it is "Bacteroidetes bacterium (groundwater metagenome) tRNA-Ser". Lineage: Bacteria; Pseudomonadati; Bacteroidota. The record is from RNAcentral.
GGAGGCACGCAACUGACAGCGCUUAUUGGUCCUGAAAACCAUGAAGUCGGCUAUCGCUGACGUGCAGGUUGGAUUCCUGCUGCCUCCG